AUACGUAGGUGGCAAGCGUUGUCCGGAAUUAUUGGGCGUAAAGCGCGCGCAGGUGGUUCCUUAAGUCUGAUGUGAAAGCCCCCGGCUCAACCGGGGAGGGUCAUUGGAAACUGGGGAACUUGAGUGCAGAAGAGGAUAGUGGAGUUCCAAGUGUAGCGGUGAAAUGCGUAGAGAUUUGGAGGAACACCAGUGGCGAAGGCGACUGUCUGGUCUGUAACUGACACUGAGGCGCGAAAGCGUGGGGAGCAAACAGGAUUAGAUACCCUGGUAGUCCACGCCGUAAACGAUGAGUGCUAAGUGUUGGGGGGUUUCCGCCCCUCAGUGCUGCAGCUAACGCAUUAAGCACUCCGCCUGGGGAGUACGGUCGCAAGACUGAAACUCAAAUGAAUUGACGGGG
RNAcentral lists this ribosomal RNA (397 nucleotides) under uncultured bacterium. RNAcentral's name for it is "partial 16S ribosomal RNA". It matches the Rfam family "Bacterial small subunit ribosomal RNA", at positions 523 to 918 of the family's 1533-position model. The record is from RNAcentral.